Molecule: long non-coding RNA, 292 nt
Filed under: Lathyrus oleraceus (garden pea)
Lineage: Eukaryota; Viridiplantae; Streptophyta; Magnoliopsida; Fabales; Fabaceae
Description: Pisum sativum (pea) long non-coding RNA (PSAT_LNC040896)
Source: RNAcentral
CCAACAAAAGGGUAAAUGAAAGGCGAACUACUGAGGAUAAAUUGCAAGCAUCCGGCAAUUAUCCACAGGGACUAGCUGGGGAUGCAUUGGUAUACAACCAAUGAUCUGGGGAACACAAUCACUAGCAAAUGGUGAAAGGACCCACUGGGGAUGAAAUUGCUAGCAUACGGCAAUUAUCCACAAAAGACUUGCUGGAGAUAUAAGUGCUGAUCUGAGCAACUUAUGCAAGCAAAGGAAAAUCAUCAUCAAAUAUUGAAUGAAGAUAACCACAAAAUUAGGGUUUACAUCUACC